UACGUAGGGUGCAAGCGUUGUCCGGAAUUAUUGGGCGUAAAGCGCGUGUAGGCGGCUUAGCAAGUCGGGCGUGAAAGCCCUCAGCUCAACUGAGGAAGUGCACCCGAAACUGCUGAGCUUGAGUGCCGGAGAGGAUGGCGGAAUUCCCCAAGUAGAGGUGAAAUUCGUAGAUAUGGGGAGGAACACCGGUGGCGAAGGCGGCCAUCUGGACGGUAACUGACGCUGAGACGCGAAAGCGUGGGGAGCAAACAGG
RNAcentral lists this ribosomal RNA (253 nucleotides) under uncultured bacterium. RNAcentral's name for it is "partial 16S ribosomal RNA". It matches the Rfam family "Bacterial small subunit ribosomal RNA", at positions 524 to 776 of the family's 1533-position model. The record is from RNAcentral.